AGGAUGAACGCUGGCGGAGUGCCUAACACAUGCAAGUCGAGCGGCAGCGGAAGUAGUUUACUACUUGCCGGCGAGCGGCGGACGGCUGAGUAACGCGUGGGAACGUGCCCCAAAGUGAGGAAUAACUGCCCGAAAGGGUAGCUAAUGCCGCAUAUGAUCUUCGGAUUAAAGGAUUUAUCCGCUUUGGGAGCGGCCCGCGUUAGAUUAGGUAGUUGGUGAGGUAAAGGCUCACCAAGCCGACGAUCUAUAGCUGGUCUGAGAGGAUGACCAGCCAGACUGGAACUGAGACACGGUCCAGACUCCUACGGGAGGCAGCAGUGGGGAAUAUUGGACAAUGGGCGAAAGCCUGAUCCAGCAAUGCCGCGUGAGUGAAGAAGGCCUUCGGGUUGUAAAGCUCUUUUACCCGGGAAGAUAAUGACUGUACCGGGAGAAUAAGCCCGGCUAACUCCGUGCCAGCAGCCGC
This 463-nucleotide ribosomal RNA is filed under the name uncultured bacterium. RNAcentral describes it as "SSU rRNA". It matches the Rfam family "Bacterial small subunit ribosomal RNA", at positions 26 to 518 of the family's 1533-position model. The record is from RNAcentral.